RNAcentral lists this ribosomal RNA (274 nucleotides) under uncultured bacterium. Its description in RNAcentral is "partial 16S ribosomal RNA". It matches the Rfam family "Bacterial small subunit ribosomal RNA", at positions 523 to 796 of the family's 1533-position model. The record is from RNAcentral.
AUACGAAGGGGGCUAGCGUUGUUCGGAAUUACUGGGCGUAAAGCGUACGUAGGCGGAUCGAUCAGUCAGAGGUGAAAUCCCAGGGCUCAACCCUGGAACUGCCUUUGAUACUAUCGAUCUAGAAUCCAGAAGAGGUGAGUGGAAUUCCGAGUGUAGAGGUGAAAUUCGUAGAUAUUCGGAGGAACACCAGUGGCGAAGGCGGCUCACUGGUCUGGUAUUGACGCUGAGGUACGAAAGCGUGGGGAGCAAACAGGAUUAGAUACCCUAGUAGUCC